UGUAUCCCACUUCUGACAC
RNAcentral lists this microRNA (19 nucleotides) under Mus musculus (house mouse). RNAcentral's name for it is "mmu-miR-3963". Lineage: Eukaryota; Metazoa; Chordata; Mammalia; Rodentia; Muridae. The record is from miRBase by way of RNAcentral.